This 252-nucleotide ribosomal RNA is filed under the name uncultured bacterium. RNAcentral describes it as "partial 16S ribosomal RNA". It matches the Rfam family "Bacterial small subunit ribosomal RNA", at positions 524 to 776 of the family's 1533-position model. The record is from RNAcentral.
UACGUAGGUCCCGAGCGUUGUCCGGAUUUAUUGGGCGUAAAGCGAGCGCAGGUGGUUUAUUAAGUCUGGUGUAAAAGGCAGUGGCUCAACCAUUGUAUGCAUUGGAAACUGGUAGACUUGAGUGCAGGAGAGGAGAGUGGAAUUCCAUGUGUAGCGGUGAAAUGCGUAGAUAUAUGGAGGAACACCGGUGACGAAAGCGGCUCUCUGGCCUGUAACUGACACUGAGGCUCGAAAGCGUGGGAAGCAAACAGG